Molecule: non-coding RNA, 4805 nt
Organism: Megalopta genalis
Lineage: Eukaryota; Metazoa; Arthropoda; Insecta; Hymenoptera; Halictidae
Source: RefSeq, a predicted model, not a curated record
CGACGCGGAAUGGAGCGCGUCGCAGUAAUCGGGCGGUGCUCGUCUCGUGAAAACGUGUGCAACCUCAACGGAUCCCGAAACGAGAGUGUCCUCUCCCGUGCUGACGAACACACAGGGAGAGCGGUCGGGCAAUGGAAAAGGAGAGGGAUAGAAAAGGAGUGAGAGAGCCAGAUGGGAAGCUUGCUCUUCUCCGUCCUUCGGCGUAAAUAGCAGGAUAAAAAAGCCACGACGGUGGCGCCCGAUUGGUGGGAUUCCCGAGGCGCUACCAACGCUCCGAACCACGCUCGCCGAGUCGACCAAUCGGCGAGUGGCACGGCCCACGUCGGUUCCCCUCGACUCGUCGAGAAGGCGGGAUUACGGACACAGUCGUCGGUCGACGGUUCGGUUCGAGGUCCCCAGCGCCGUGCCGCGCGCGUCCCUGCAUUCCCCUCGACGCGAGCCUUUCCGUUUUGCCGCAACUUUCCCCCUCUGUGUGUUAAAACAGAGACAGACUCACUCUCUCCCCCUUUACCAUCGCUCUUCCCCUCGUGUAGCGAACCCGAAUAGCGGAGCGCUACCGUGGCACUGGUCUCUCCGUCGCGUCUCCUUCUCUCUCUUUCUCCUGAACGCCCACGGGUGUGUAAAGUCAUAUACACUGUGUAUGCGAGCGUAGGGCGGGCACAUGGGUGAGGGGAACGAGCGGCGAGCGUAUAUAUGUAUUUUAUACAUAGGAGCGCACAUCGUCACAGCCAUUUCCCCUCUCCGUACCCGCGUCGGCGGUGGCCGACCACCGUCGGUAUUGAAAUAUCCUGGCCCUGGAGAGCCAAGUCGUGCGGCGAUGCCGCUUCUCUUUAUAACCACUACGCUUUGCACCGAGACCGAUCUUCCUCUCCCUUUGCUUUUCCCCACCCUUUCUCGUUGCAUGCACCCUUCCCCCCUUUCACCGUUUCUUUGUCUACGUUUUCCGCCCUUCUCCCUCCCCUUCUUCUCCCUUCUUCCUUUACCCCUUACUCGCAACGCUUCGCGAUCCGUCUCUCUUUCCCGAUGUGCCCUUGCUCGGACGGUUCGGUAUGGAAUAGGAGUCGCGUACCCUCUUCCGAGAGAGUUUCUAUUCCUCGUCCUCUCUCUUUUUCAUCCGACCGGAGAGAGUCUUUCGCCUCCCUUUAAAGCGCGAUCAGUUGUCGUUCGAAACGCUGCGCAACCCUACGGCCGCCGCACAAAAGCAAAAAUGCGAGCGUGCGUAGCGCGCCGUUCGGUUUCUCGGUCCGCGCGCGACAUUGCGCAACCAUGGAAUAUACAAAGCCAACGUAGAUGGCGUGCCACGGGUACGCAGCUUAUGGCAGGUCCCCUCCUUUUCCUUCUUUUCCCCGCAUAAGUAAUGCCCUCCUUUGUUCUUCGUCGUCAUCGUUGCUGCUGCAUUUCGCGCCUCCAAAGCAACCUCCUUGAUCUCUUUUCUAUGCGUGCCUCUAGGGCUCGUUGGUCCUCGGCCGACGCAUAACCGAACGUUUUACAACGCCGACCCAAAUUUGCAAACGUAGUAACACUCGGAUUUACAUAACGAUGUAUAUCCCGCGAUUUCAUCGCUCCGAUACAGUUGCAUCGUUCAACGUAUUAAAAACAAAGCCGACGUUUCACAGAUCUGUCCAUCGGGAAACACGAUGCGUACACGGUAAUCGCGGAUAGAUACUGUAGUAAGACUGUUUCAGGUUUAGAAUACGAUAUCUGUUGCGCAAUGCAAAUAUUAGCUGCAUUCGUAUUAUCUUUCGUUACCGUGAUUAAAACUUUAAUCACGCUAACAGCGGAAGUUCCGCGAAAUCAGCCGAGUUACCACUCUUCGGACAUGUUGAGUACGGUGUAUCGAUAUCGUAGAUCAAUUGGGUGCGCGCUCAUCUUAAAAGAACAACGUUCUGUGGCUCGCGAACGUUGCACGAAUUCGGUAGUACAUUCGAAGCGCAGCGGGCGAAUGGGACCGUUCGGGACCGUUCCUAUAGCCUAAGCAAGUAGAUACGAUUCUAUUAAAACAAAUAAAGUGGCUACCAACAAAAGGCAGUCGGUCGGUUUUUGGAAUAACCUGAGAAAUAGAUAGUUUACCUUUAGUUAUACGGACACUGUCUACCAAGUUAAACGCGCGUCUCGGUUUUGCUGGCACCUUUUUGACAAAGAUUUCCAUUGCCUCCUGGCAUAAUCGUGGCUCUAUUUCUGCGAUAAUUGUUGUCUUUCAUCUCCUGAAUGCACGCCUGUGCUCGUCGCGCGCAAUUUAUGCAACAUCACGCAAUUCUCUUUCAGCAGCUACAGUUAAUUCGCUACCCUCAUAACACAAACUGCGCACGUGACGCGGACGUCACUUCACGAAACCUAUAGCCAGAAAAAUGGCGGCUGUUUUACAUUGGCCGGCUCUUAUUGUUUAGUGCAUCUUUUGCAUACGCAGCGUCGAGCGGUAGAACGGUUGCAAUGCAGCAAGCCAAGAGAUGGCGGCGAGCUAAUUAACUGUGCAAGAGUACGAUAAGCAAGGGCGAGCAUGCAUGAAACGGUAGCGCAAGAGACCGAAAGAUAUCGCGGGGAACGAUGAGGCCACUGAUGAUUCGUGUUUCUAAUUAUGCGGGCAGUCCAUCGUGGACAUGGUCGCAUCGGGAAGCAGGGCGUGGCGCCUUCAACGUGGACCCAAAUUGAAUGCUACGUCGUUUAUCCUCCGAAACUUCGCUAUCGAGAAUCGGAACCGCUCCUGCAUCGCAUGGCAUUCUCUCGUGGAUCCCUAGAAUGCCGUGCAUCUGUACCGUGCCAGCUCCGCGAGCUAUCCGAUUCCUCGAACCCAUUUCUCGUGUUUGGGGUUAAAAAGACGGUUCACAGGUUAAAGACCGUCGUGCAGAUCCGUGAUCAGUAUUAGCGAAGAAUGCGUAGCCUUUGGAUGCAAACCUGGUACCGACGUUUUAGGUACUUUGGGAAUCCCGUUAGGGCGAACCUGACAAAAGUGUAAAUCCUAUAAUUGCACCUUAAGAAGACGGACGCAGAACCCCUAAUUUCAGGGCCUGUUCGAGCGCCGCGUUACGAGGACACCGUGAAAAAUUCUGCUUGCCACCGAAUGGUGCCAUUUUGUAUCUCCUAAUUAAGAUGUCCCACCUCGAGCGAGCGGACCCGAACUCCUUACGAUUAAAACCACCGAUAAGGGCACACCGGGGGCCGAUGGUAACGCGGAGCUCCCUUCUCGCUCGCCGCGGUCGCGUGCAUCGUAGGUGGUAUCUGGAUCGCGAUAGGCGGUCAGGGUUCGCCGUGUGAUCGAGUGGCGCCGGUUUGGCAGCGAUUCGUCAAGUACGCGCGCAGACACCCGGUAGACGAGUACCUACCCACUUGCUGCAAAGGGAAACAGCUGUUCGACGACGGGCAACGCAUCCAAAGCUUCAUCCUUUGACCCGCAUUCGUCAAAUGCGGUCGCGUAAGAAGCGAAGACGAUUGAUUCGGCGAUGCCCACCCGUUAUAUGCCCAGGCCGAUCUGUUCGCGUAAUAUUAUAGUCCGGAAUGGCGGCUGAAUUUAUCGGGUAAACGAAGAUCAAGGGAGCGAGAGAGGGACGAUUGCGUGCGCCGAUGGAAUUCAGCCGUGGCGCAGAAAAAUCAAAUGGAACGGCCGCUUUUAAGUCGAUUUAAAACGAAUGCGCUUAAUUAAAGCGGCCCGGCCGCCGGACCAAAGCAGUUUUAUUGACGGCGUUACUUACGUGUGCUCUCUCAUUAACUUGAGGAAUAUCUGGGCUCUCCGUUUUUACUGGAGUUAAUGAUACACGCUUUACGCGGAUCCGGCCGCGCGUUCGUCGUUCCUUUGACCUGUCGUCAAAAUUUCGAGCACUUUCUGCACUCCGGCUUACCAAUAAUUCGGUCGCCACGGUGCGCUGGUUAUUUCGGUGCUCCGAAAGUAUCGGUAUCUUAGGUGAAUUCCGUGCAGGGUGGGUCACCGCGUUUUGCCAUCUGGUGUGACGUCAUUGUUAUCGCGCGUAGCGAAAAAUUGUUUCGGAUGAAAUUAAAUGGUUUCGAGAGAAGCACAUUCUGAUGAUACUAGUUUUCUCGUAGGUGAACGUGCGGAGGAGAUACAAAGGCUAUUAAUAUUUGUUUAAACGGAAUCGUAUACUUUUUAUUGCAUCGAUCGAUGCAUCUUGAUAUUCUUUACAAAAAAGUACUAUGCUAUUUAUGGUAAAAAAUCAUUACUUUAGGAGAUAUGUUAAUUUUAAUGUUUUGUUAGGAGAUCAUGGCAGUCUCGAGAAUAUUACGAAUUCAGUGUGAUAACUAUUUACAUCACACGACGCUUUUUAUAUCUAUAAUACUUGCGGUAAUCAAACUAAUGAUUUUUUAUUUCAUCUGAUGCAUUUUUCGCUACGCGUUAUAGUAAUGACGUAAAUCUAUUCUUCUUUUGCGUGUUUUUAGCAUUUUAUGUAUUCAAAGUACUCGUUGUCUUUAGAACAAAAUGUUUAUAAAUAUCCCGAAAUUUUCGAAUUUAUUCUGGUCUUUAUAAAUAUUGUAAUUUAAAUGGAUAAUUAUAUAAUUGACUUUUUCGCGAAGGAAUAAGAGAGUACGUAUACUCAUUUUUUGAGGAUUAUAAAUGUUUGAGCUACAAUAAUGAGUAUAUCGAGAAUUUUUGAUGUCUUAAAUGAACACUAUUAGCAGUUUGAGUACUUUGUUUAUACUAAAUAUGUAUUUCGAGUGUAUUUUAAGUAUAUUUUCUCUAUCUCUAAUGCGAUGAUUACCUUGACCGUCCCAAAUUCUUCCAACUCCGUAAGUAUCUUCAACACUUCGUUGUUUAUUUAAAAUAUAUAUGAAUGGAAAACAAACUGAAUAUUAUUAAA